CUGAGUACUACCAUCCAACAACAACACAUUGGUUCUUAAAAAAUUUCUAGUCAUGGAACAAGUCCUGCCUCUUCAAAAUAGUCAUUUUGUGAAAUUAAAAAAGGAAGACCCUCAACCCCACCCCCUAAGGGACCAUAACCCUUAACCUCCAAGAACUUGAAUAACAAAUGAUUCUUUUUGUUACCAUCCUCGAAUUCAAAACAAUGGAAAAAUCUGACUCUGUACUACCGUUACAGUUAUUUUAGCAGAGCUUCUUGAGUACAUCAUUGAAACAGUGCUUUAAAAAAGGCAUAUGGUAAUAAUUAUAAGAGAAGGUCACACAGGUGCAGGUUGCCUCAAUAUGGUCACAACAAAAAUGAAUUAAUUGGGACACAUACCAAACAAGUAGGCUCAAUUAGAAGUAAAUAAGUCUCUUAACAAUUCAUUUCUGCAUUAAUCAUCAGCUCUCUUUUAUCUCUUAAGGAGGAGAAAUAUCCUCUUCCCUCUGGCGGAUUUAUAGCUAUCAGUUCUGGGAAGCUCAUAGGAAGUUGGAAAAGUAUCAACUCUCUGGUUAUCUCCAGCUGGUGAAAGCUAGUUCCCUGCAAAGCAGCUGCAUAUUUUUCAUUGAUGCAAAAGAGGAUACUCGAGCUUCUUAGUUUGUUCAUGGCAGACCAGAGUUGGUCUCCGGUGUAGCAGGAGCCUCAGCACUUUGUGGGAGAUUUUUCAGCUCCGAGGGAAACCACCUACUUCUACCCACCUCACCCUCUGGAAAACUCUGUCUGCAGCCUAAGCCCUGUGUCCACGUGGUGGUCCAGAAAACUCUCCAAAACACACACAGUAACUGACCUGGCCAGUGACCUGAAGAAUUGGUGUCCACAUCAUCGAAGAUGCGUUUUACUGCUUUGGAGCCUUCCACCUACGUGUUCAUCUAUCACCUCUGGCAAGCACACAGUAUUUAAAAAUCAAGAACUUCUUUUGUGGAAUAUGUAAUUAAGGCUUUGCUGGAAGCUUGUUUGCUGAAAGCCUGAGAAGGGCUUGCAAGCUCCAAAAUAUAUUGAGUGUAUGAAAUUGCAGUGCUCCAGAUACUAUAUAUCUUACUUCCUUCCCAACUUACUUUCACAAAGGUUUUAUUUGUGGCACCAGAAUUCUUAUUUCUAGUAAGUCAGUUAAAAUAAAUGGUGGAAUCCUUCCAGAUACUGUAGUUCUUAAGUAAGAUAUGUCUUCCUAGUUAUCUAAGGAAUCUGUGAUCCUUAGUGGUCCUGCAGUCUUCAUUUGUCACAGCCAGCAUCACAGCAACCUGUCUGGUCUUAUUUUGGGAUUUAUCUUUUACUGUGAGCAGACUCAUCCACUAUUAGCCAGUGAUAAGCAACAGCUUUUUGGCAUAAAAAC
Long non-coding RNA from Cygnus olor (mute swan), 1368 nucleotides. RefSeq lists it as uncharacterized. NCBI's taxonomy places the organism in Eukaryota, Metazoa, Chordata, Aves, Anseriformes, Anatidae. The transcript has 3 exons. The record is from RefSeq and is a predicted model, not a curated record.